Gossypium raimondii (Peruvian cotton) is the source of this 87-nucleotide non-coding RNA. NCBI's taxonomy places the organism in Eukaryota, Viridiplantae, Streptophyta, Magnoliopsida, Malvales, Malvaceae. The record is from Rfam.
CCUGAGGAAACGUUUUGCCUACGUGGACAGAAAUCGCUCCUUCAAGGGCGCACUUUAUGUCCAAGUAGGCAAAACGCUUCCUCAGGG